Candidatus Jettenia caeni is the source of this 149-nucleotide regulatory RNA element. It matches the Rfam family "c-di-GMP-I riboswitch aptamer". Rfam says of the family: GEMM was predicted in a large-scale screen for bacterial structured RNA regulatory elements. Genes associated with GEMM are involved in a diverse array of functions, including chemotaxis regulation, signal transduction, secretion and chitin. The record is from Rfam. NCBI's taxonomy places the organism in Bacteria, Pseudomonadati, Planctomycetota, Candidatus Brocadiia, Candidatus Brocadiales, Candidatus Brocadiaceae.
AUUCGACAAAGGUAAACCCUGAGCGAUCAGGGGGCGCAAAGGAAAGGGUCUUGUAGCCGUGAACAGUAUUUGUGAAUAGUGUUAGUAUACUUAACCAGACACUUACACUCAUAACUGACACGAAGAAAUAAGAUAGCCUUACUGCCGAA